Molecule: ribosomal RNA, 576 nt
Filed under: uncultured archaeon
Lineage: Archaea
Description: bacterial SSU rRNA
Rfam family: Archaeal small subunit ribosomal RNA
Source: RNAcentral
CAUACGGCUCAGUAACACGUAGUCAACCUGCCCUGGAGACGCGGACAAACCCGGGAAACUGGGGCCUAUCCGCGAUAGAUGACCUCAUCUGGAAGGAGAGGUCGUCCAAAAGGACGCACGGGUAUGCUCUGUGCGGACCGCUCCAGGAUGGGACUGCGGCCGAUCAGGCUGUUGGCGGGGUAAUGGCCCACCAAACCUGUAACCGGUACGGGCUUUGAGAGAAGGAGCCCGGAGAUGGACACUGAGACAAGGGUCCAGGCCCUACGGGGCGCAUCAGGCGCGAAAACUUCGCAAUGCGCGAAAGCGUGACGAGGCUAGUCCGAGUGCUCCCUGCUAAAGGGAGCUUUUCUCGGCUGUAAAUAGGCCGGGGAAUAAGGGGAGGGCAAGUCUGGUGUCAGCCGCCGCGGUAAUACCAGCUCCUCGAGUGGUCGGGACGAUUAUUGGGCCUAAAGCACCCGUAGCCGGUUCCGUAAGUCCUCUGUUAAAUCCAGUCGCUCAACGGCUGGUCUGCAGAGGAUGCUGCAGGAAUAUGAGGCGGGAGACGCGGAUGUUCCCCCGAGUGAAGGGGUAAAGUCC